AAAUUGAAGAGUUUGAUCAUGGCUCAGAUUGAACGCUGGCGGCAGGCCUAACACAUGCAAGUCGAACGGUAACAGGAAGCAGCUUGCUGCUUUGCUGACGAGUGGCGGACGGGUGAGUAAUGUCUGGGAAACUGCCUGAUGGAGGGGGAUAACUACUGGAAACGGUGGCUAAUACCGCAUAACGUCGCAAGACCAAAGAGGGGGACCUUCGGGCCUCUUGCCAUCAGAUGUGCCCAGAUGGGAUUAGCUAGUUGGUGAGGUAACGGCUCACCAAGGCGACGAUCCCUAGCUGGUCUGAGAGGAUGACCAGCCACACUGGAACUGAGACACGGUCCAGACUCCUACGGGAGGCAGCAGUGGGGAAUAUUGCACAAUGGGCGCAAGCCUGAUGCAGCCAUGCCGCGUGUAUGAAGAAGGCCUUCGGGUUGUAAAGUACUUUCAGCGGGGAGGAAGGUGUUGUGGUUAAUAACCACAGCAAUUGACGUUACCCGCAGAAGAAGCACCGGCUAACUCCGUGCCAGCAGCCGCGGUAAUACGGAGGGUGCAAGCGUUAAUCGGAAUUACUGGGCGUAAAGCGCACGCAGGCGGUCUGUCAAGUCGGAUGUGAAAUCCCCGGGCUCAACCUGGGAACUGCAUUCGAAACUGGCAGGCUUGAGUCUUGUAGAGGGGGGUAGAAUUCCAGGUGUAGCGGUGAAAUGCGUAGAGAUCUGGAGGAAUACCGGUGGCGAAGGCGGCCCCCUGGACAAAGACUGACGCUCAGGUGCGAAAGCGUGGGGAGCAAACAGGAUUAGAUACCCUGGUAGUCCACGCCGUAAACGAUGUCUACUUGGAGGUUGUGCCCUUGAGGCGUGGCUUCCGGAGCUAACGCGUUAAGUAGACCGCCUGGGGAGUACGGCCGCAAGGUUAAAACUCAAAUGAAUUGACGGGGGCCCGCACAAGCGGUGGAGCAUGUGGUUUAAUUCGAUGCAACGCGAAGAACCUUACCUGGUCUUGACAUCCACAGAACUUUCCAGAGAUGGAUUGGUGCCUUCGGGAACUGUGAGACAGGUGCUGCAUGGCUGUCGUCAGCUCGUGUUGUGAAAUGUUGGGUUAAGUCCCGCAACGAGCGCAACCCUUAUCCUUUGUUGCCAGCGGUUAGGCCGGGAACUCAAAGGAGACUGCCAGUGAUAAACUGGAGGAAGGUGGGGAUGACGUCAAGUCAUCAUGGCCCUUACGACCAGGGCUACACACGUGCUACAAUGGCGCAUACAAAGAGAAGCGACCUCGCGAGAGCAAGCGGACCUCAUAAAGUGCGUCGUAGUCCGGAUUGGAGUCUGCAACUCGACUCCAUGAAGUCGGAAUCGCUAGUAAUCGUGGAUCAGAAUGCCACGGUGAAUACGUUCCCGGGCCUUGUACACACCGCCCGUCACACCAUGGGAGUGGGUUGCAAAAGAAGUAGGUAGCUUAACCUUCGGGAGGGCGCUUACCACUUUGUGAUUCAUGACUGGGGUGAAGUCGUAACAAGGUAACCGUAGGGGAACCUGCGGUUGGAUCACCUCCUUACCUUAAAGAA
Molecule: ribosomal RNA, 1552 nt
Filed under: Salmonella enterica subsp. enterica serovar Hadar str. ATCC 51956
Lineage: Bacteria; Pseudomonadati; Pseudomonadota; Gammaproteobacteria; Enterobacterales; Enterobacteriaceae
Description: bacterial SSU rRNA
Rfam family: Bacterial small subunit ribosomal RNA
Source: RNAcentral